AGCCUGUCUUAGAGAUGUUUUCUAAAAAGACCACUUAGUUAUUCAACCCCCCACUGCUAAAUUUGACUGGCUUUAA
This 76-nucleotide small RNA is filed under the name Microcebus murinus (gray mouse lemur). Its description in RNAcentral is "Y RNA (ENSMICG00000041488.1)". Lineage: Eukaryota; Metazoa; Chordata; Mammalia; Primates; Cheirogaleidae. The record is from RNAcentral.